CUACCAGGGCAGUGUGAGGGAUUCGAGAAAAUAGUGGGAGUUACAUUUGUUCUAAAAGACCUUAGAAUAGAUUAGGAUCAAGUACAAAAGUCUAACUAGAAUCUUUACUCUCUGCAGAUACAAUGUCAGCUUCAAACCCUUUGACCCGUAUUCUUGAGACCAACCGACUGACCGGAACCAAUUACAAAGACUGGCUUAGUGAUGAGAGUACAAAAGUACGAUCUACAUACUACUUAAAUUGGUAUUAUUGCCAACGGAUGAUAAUAUUAUCACUAAUUUAAUAUUAUAUUUUUGAUUGGGUGCAGGUGAUCAUAAAUCAAAGUUACAAUGCGCAUUUAGUAUAAAUUGGGCCUAGACAAAUGCAUCACUCAGACCACAUACGCCCAACCUCGUCAUGGUCUGAUCGAACCCACCAUUCAUCAAGCACACUUGCACUCGAGGGAUAUAUGGCAGCCAUCCUAAGGCAACGCGCAAUGGGACAUCCGAGGGCUUAGGUUUAUCAAGUCGAGAAGAUCCAAAAGGAAGAAAGUGGCCACAUCAGCGAUCAUUCCGUGAUCAACGUGUCUCCUCCACGGCGUCCGAGCUUCUUCUCCCACGUGCAUCUCCAGCAUCCCGCGAUCACCUCCGAGCUCAGGAUCCCGCGCUUCUCACGCAAUCCAUCCCGCAGCCAGCUCUUCAGCCAUUCCUUUUCCGCGUGUGAGCCAGCGUCCAUUCCCAUUCUCGCGAUCAUCCCGGCAGCCGCAUCCCAUGCUUCCGAACUCAUAUCAGAUCCCGCAGCAUCCGUUUCUCCCGUGCCUCCCAGCCGUCCGCGAUCAGCUGCCGCGUCUGCGUCCCAGAGCUCCCAAUCUUCCUCGCAUCCCACGCGUCUUAGCUUCCUUCGGCAACCAUCCAGCACAUCAUCAGCGUUUCAAAGCUUCCGUGAUCACCUCCCAAGCAUC
This 938-nucleotide long non-coding RNA is filed under the name Phoenix dactylifera (date palm). RNAcentral describes it as "long non-coding RNA (PDAC_LNC008258)". The record is from RNAcentral. Lineage: Eukaryota; Viridiplantae; Streptophyta; Magnoliopsida; Arecales; Arecaceae.